Molecule: ribosomal RNA, 468 nt
Filed under: uncultured bacterium
Lineage: Bacteria
Description: partial 16S ribosomal RNA
Rfam family: Bacterial small subunit ribosomal RNA
Source: RNAcentral
GAUGAACGCUGGCGGCGUGCUUAACACAUGCAAGUCGAACGGAAAGGCCCAAGCUUGCUUGGGUACUCGAGUGGCGAACGGGUGAGUAACACGUGGGUGAUCUGCCCUGCACUUCGGGAUAAGCCUGGGAAACUGGGUCUAAUACCGGAUAGGACCACUUCUUGGAUGUUGUGGUGGAAAGUUUUUUCGGUGUGGGAUGAGCUCGCGGCCUAUCAGCUUGUUGGUGGGGUAAUGGCCUACCAAGGCGUCGACGGGUAGCCGGCCUGAGAGGGUGUACGGACGCAUUGGAACUGUGAUACGGCCCAGACUACGACGGGAGGCAGCAGUGGGGAAUAUUGCACAAUGGGCGCAAGCCUGAGGCAGCGACGCCGCGUGGGGGAUGACGGCCUUCGGGUUGUAAACACCUUUCGCUAGGGACGAAGCGUUUUUGUGACGGUACCUGGAGAAGAAGCACCGGCUAACUACGUG